GAUGAACGCUAGCGGCAGGCUUAAUACAUGCAAGUCGAGGGGCAGCAUAGGUAGCAAUACUUGAUGGCGACCGGCAAACGGGUGCGGAACACGUACAGAACCUCCUUCGAGCGGGGAAUAGCCCGAAGAAAUUCGGAUUAAUACCCCAUAGUAUUAUGAAGUGGCAUCACUUUAUAAUUAAAGAUUUAUCACUUGAAGAUGGCUGUGCGCCUGAUUAGGUAGUUGGCGGAGUAAUAGCCCACCAAGCCUGCGAUCAGUAACUGGUGUGAGAGCACGACCAGUCACACGGGCACUGAGACACGGGCCCGACUCCUACGGGAGGCAGCAGUAAGGAAUAUUGGUCAAUGGACGCAAGUCUGAACCAGCCAUGCCGCGUGGAGGAUGAAGGUCCUCUGGAUUGUAAACUUCUUUUAUUUGGGAAGAAAUGCACUUUUUCUAAAGUGCUUGACGGUACCAGAUGAAUAAGCACCGGCUAACUCCGUGCCAGCA
Molecule: ribosomal RNA, 489 nt
Filed under: uncultured bacterium
Lineage: Bacteria
Description: bacterial SSU rRNA
Rfam family: Bacterial small subunit ribosomal RNA
Source: RNAcentral